AGAAACAACAAUCUAUCCAUAAUGAUCAAUCAUGGACCACGGGACAUUUUCGAUGAGUUUCUAAGGAGGUGCAACUCUCAUUUGCGAAACAUGUACACAAUGGUGCAACUACUGAAAAACACCUUACUCAAAUUUGAUGCAGAAAAUAUUCCGUCUCAUGUUGAUUAUUUCCAUCUCACCUCAGGAUAGCCGACCUUCCCACCUUGACCAUAAACGACCUAAAGCUACGAUCAUUCCAACUAGCAAUACUCGAUAGCAGUUGCCCAGAAUCAUUACCCAAUUGUUAUAAUGGUGUAAGAUAAGGUGCCGGAGAUCGUCGGAUCGAUGACAAUUCAUCUUAGUCGCAUGUUAACCGCGGGACUCGAUCAAUGCAUGCAAUCUUCAUGGAGGUGGCUGCCACUCAUCAUGGAAAGGGUCACCAAACUUUCUUAUAAAUAUAAGGAGGUAGGGGAUCUUCAGAUCCAGCAAGAAAAAAAAAAACUCCUCUCGCUCUCUUUCUUUCUUCCAUCAUUCUCUGAUCUGAGUUGUGCAUUGGAGACUCACCAUCAGAAAAUUUCUGAUAAGGGACUUCUUUACAAAUCAUUUUUCUCUCUGAAAGCUUCAGCCACUCCACCUAUUUUAGCUCAAAUCAGCACAACCGACCUCAAUCUUGCAUUGGAGAUCAGCAGCAA
This 671-nucleotide long non-coding RNA is filed under the name Elaeis guineensis (African oil palm). Its description in RNAcentral is "long non-coding RNA (EGUI_LNC010925)". Lineage: Eukaryota; Viridiplantae; Streptophyta; Magnoliopsida; Arecales; Arecaceae. The record is from RNAcentral.